ACGGAAGCCCGGUGAGGCCAAGGUCGAUUCGGAAGAGAAGAAUCGGUCUCCCGAUCCGGGCGGCCCAGCACGGAUACCGGCACCCACGCGGAGCUACAGCCGCGAUAAUGGCAGAAGUGUUGCGGGCCUGCGUAAUUGCGAAGAUCGGACGGUGUCGACGACCCUUUGGGUGGGGUUGCAGCCGGACACUUCGCAAGAUCGCCGAGGCCAACCCACGCAACCCGAAGUUGCACGCUUGGUAACCGAGUUCCGUGCUAGCGGGCGGCGCGCCGAGACCAUUCGGAUCGUCGCCCGCUUCACAUG
Molecule: non-coding RNA, 303 nt
Organism: Mycobacterium xenopi 3993
Lineage: Bacteria; Bacillati; Actinomycetota; Actinomycetes; Mycobacteriales; Mycobacteriaceae
Source: Rfam